GCCAGAAUCCCUCGCCCACUUCUUCAUUUGCUUGGGCCAGGAUCACCCCAGAGGCAGUCCUGUGUAUGAAGGAGACCACUGUGGGUGCCACAGCUCCAAUGCUCCCUGUCCCAGGCACCCUGCCCACCCUGGGAACAGCAUCUUCCAGCCCGUGUGCACAGGGGUGGGAUGCUUGUAGAAUGUUUGUUUCAUAGGACAGGGUAUAUCUGUUUUUUAGAACUGGAUGCUUCUCAAGUGCUGUUAAGAGACUGCAACUUGUGGUGCUCGGAACCGUUGGCCGUUGUUAUGUAGGCACACAUUUCUCCUUGGUUGGUUUGACUUCCCAGCUGGGCAUUCAGGCUGGGUGUUACAUCACUUUCUUUUGCUAUGAGUCAUAGCUCUGAGAGACCAUGGCUGUGUCUACUGAAAAUGGAAGCCUGAAACGUUUGCGGAAGAAUAGAGGAAACCAAAAUAGUGCGAAAGGGCUGACGAUCACAAAUACAGACAGCAACAGCAAAAGCACCGAGGUGGAGUUUCUCAGCUGCAGAGAUAACAUAGCCCAGGGCUCCUUUGGGAUCUGUCUCUGGGAAUCAGCAUGGUUUGGGUGCAUCAUUUAGGGGGAAAAGCAGGAAGCAAGCUGAAUCAAGAGCAACAGUGUUAGAAUCCAUGAUGGGAUGUUCUAGCUGCUCUCUUUCGCUAUGGGAAAGCAAGGUUUAGAGAUGCCGACACCAGCAUACUCUUAAUUCUGAGGUAUUUUCUAUAGCUAUUUUUUGGUACCCAAAGGCGCAGUAAGGGUGCUCAGGGACAGACGUGAGCACUGAGCCAGCUCCACCACUCAGGCUGUGGCUGUUGGGCUGCAGCUGGCUGACCCAGGGGACAUGUUUUCAGUGGGCAUGUGAGCCAGCAGCUCUGCUUCUGUGAGCCUGCGUGUGAAGAGGAGUUCCUCCCUCGUGGGAAAUACUGACGAGAUGGUAAUUGUUUUGGUGGUUUUGCUGCAGAGCCUUCUGAAAACCCAGAUGCAGAGCAGUGGUGCUGGUAGCUCGGCCUACAGACUUGCCAUGUGUUUGAUGCAGCUGUGCUCAGAGAGGAAACUUCAGGAGCCAAGGAGUGUGAUUUCUCAAUAACCUGAUGGGCAGCAGGUAAAGCAGGGGGCUGGGACAGGGCUCCUGGGGGCAUCUGAGCGUCUGCAUUGCCUGCCUGUGCUCCUCUUGGAACAAAGGACUGCACUGUGCCCAUCAUGGAGGGGACUUUGUUGAGGUACUGGAGCCCCAGUCAGACAUCAGGGGUCUGUCACACAGCAUCACCCCGGGAAUGAAGUGGCCCCUCGUGCUCAUGGUUGAGCUGCUAUGGGCUGUUUUGGCACUUAGGUAACAAUGUGAUUUCCUGUCUCAUGACAGUUCAGAUAUUAAAGGUCACAUCUGCCUAAUACUUUCAGUCUUAACUAUGGCAAACUUUCCCAGCGCUUCUAAAGCAGACAGUUGUGGUAUGGUUCCCUUCUGAACCAUAUUCAGAAACCAGAGGUUGUUCUGUAGCUCUUUAUCAUUAUUGUUGCUACUACUAGUAGGUCUUGUACAGGGAUUACUCAGAACAGCAGCACAACAACAACUCUGCCCAGAGAAGGAAAGGUCAGGAUCUUCAGGUGCUGCUGCCACAAGCCUGCAGCCCGCUGUUCUGCGUCUCAGCAGCAGAUCUUGGUCAAAGCUGCACCAAAGAACAACUCCAGGGACAGCCCUCUCCUCUCUCCUGCUGUCUGUCCUUACCGUGCCUCGCAGCCUGUGAGGAUGCUGCAGAUGCACUCUGUGUGAACACUCAGGAGAUGAGGGAGCAGGAGAAAGGACACGCACAGAUUGAGGCUAAGGAGAAAAGAAACCCCAUGUGGUAAUUGCUUGCUAGAAAUAAAUGCAAGGGACUGAAUUCUUGGUGGCUCCAUGCAGAUUCACAGCAGCUGAGAAUCUGUCCCUGGAAACUGCAAGGGGUGCUAUGGCUGUGACUGUGUAUGCAAGCUUCAGGUUAUCUGUAUAAUGAGGUAGUCCAAAAAGUUGGAAGCUUUGUGCAAAUAUCUGAGAAUAUCCCCAGGACAGCAGGAGCCUUUGUGCUCGUCCUUAACCAGGUGGUAUUUGCCCGGCUUUCUGGAGCAGCUUGAAGUCCCCUUCAGAACAAAACCACCUUUAACAAACACAAACGUACUUUGUGUUCUCUAUGGAAGCCCAGUGCCCAGGCCAUGUUACUAUGUUACUGAACUCUAGUUUUUGCUGUGCUUCAACACAGUUAAAAGCCUGAAAGCUGAGCCAUUUUAAAGCAUCCCAUAAGACCCUUGAGUCAUGCAAAAUCCUAUCCCGUUUUUCCCUCUGGGUGAAGAGUUAUGAAUGAUAGAAGUGCUUUUAAAUCAUAGAUAAAGAAUGCUGAGUGAUGGGUUAGUAAAAAUAAUUUUAAGAACUCCCUAUUUUCAUCUAGAUUUUAUUUCCCUGGGUGUGAAUUCAACAGGUGGGGCUGAAAUAUCACAGCUUGCCCCCCAAAAGGAGCGGCGUGCAGCUGAAUCCCCGCAAGAGUCACUAUUCCUUUUCUUGCUUUCUUUACUGCUUCAGGCAAAUUAUGAUUGUAAUACUUCUCCGUUCUCUAGCACAGCUCAUUUCCCCACCCUGUACCAGCUCAAUUUCUCUGGCAGGACUGCUGGGAAUGGCGGACCGCUGCUUCCGUCUGCUCCCAAACCUCCUGCUGACAAAACUGCACCUCUGUGAUCCUACCCAACCUGCUUCUGACCCAGCCGGGUAGGCAGGGGGGUCAACGUGGUGUCCUCUGUGCUUGCAUCUACCAGUGCUGCUCUGCCAGCUGCUGACCCAGCACCAUGAGGAUACUCAGAUCCCCUGGAUAUUCUUCUUACUAGAAUAAAGCUACCUGGAACUACUGCUUGGUUCCGGAGGUAAGUGCUGCACUGCCCUUCCAUUCUACUUUUCCAUAUUUGCUACCUAUUACAGUGUUAAUCAUUGGGAUCCCUCUCUUUUCAGUUUCCUUUCCCUGAAACGCGGUGGUCAGACUUCCCAGACCGUGCAUUCUUUGUUGACCAGGAAUUUCUAAAUGCCAAAACAGAGCCAAAUGGAAAUGCUUUGCAGGGGGUUUUGUUACCGCGAGCCAUAGAAACAUUCAAUCAGGAAAAUAAGUCUCUCUUUUGAUUUCAGUCACCAUUUUGGGGCAUGCAUUUUAGGUCAGACAUUAUUUUUGACACAUACAAGACAACAAUUGGACAAACACACCAUUUUUUGGCUAGUAUUUCAUUUAAAAAAAAAAUUGAGGAAGACAGGUAUGUUUCAAUACAUGUGUAGCUCAGAUCUGUGCAAUUGAACUGCUUUUUUGCUUAGGGAAAAUAAUGUAAUUUAGUAACCUUGCUUGUUGCAUAGAGAAGAGCGGUUAUGCUUCUUCAUCAAACUGAAACAUCCCAUUACACGGAUUUCAGAUGAUUUCUCAUGCUAUUUUUUCAGGUUUCACUUUUUUUUUUUUUUUUCCUCCUUUAAAAGGAACUUGAAGCAACUCUCUGCUCAGCUCCCGCUGGUGAAAAAGCAGCCCUAUCCACUGCUCACUGUGAUGGGAAGAGAAGAAGUUGACAGCAACCUUUGGGCAUUCUGCUUCCUCCUCUUUCCCCAUCAGACCUUCCCUUUUGUAGUACAUCUGGAGGGCCACGAACAGCCUUGACAACAUCCCCAGAGGUCUCCUGCUUUCAAAAUGCCACGCGUUGAGCCUAUAUUGUAGUGAGCUGAGAUACUAACUUCAUGUGAGAUGAACUUCACGUGUGUUAACCUGAUGAGCUAGGUCUUGCCAGUGCUGUGAAUAGGUCUGGCUGUAGAAAACGCUUCUGGAGUGAGCAAAAAUUGCUCAUAUUCAGCUAAAUAUUCUGAAAACAGAAAGGCCUGCAGAGGAAGUGAACCUAGCAGCUAUCCAUAUAUUACUCAAACAUGACCACAUGCAUUCCGCUCUGUUUCUCAGCAAACCCCUCUGAAAAGGCUGUGCAUACGUCUUACUUCACAUGCAAGCGUUGACCUUUCCCAAUGAUGUCAGAGGAGAGCAAGCCAUAGGCCUGUUACAGAGCCCUGUGUCUCAUAUGCUUGUCCCAGCCACUGGGUGCUUUGUGAUGGACAUGCAGGGAUCGCAUACAUUUUCUACAGAAAGAGAGACCUGUCACCAUGGUGCUGGGCUCAGAGAGCUGCAGAGCAAGAGCUUCACCGAGCUGUAUGGCUGAAUUGUUCCCUUCUUCAUUGUCCAUUUAAAAAAAUCUAAAUGGAAGAUGGGAAGCUGCCUGCUUGAGGUUUGUGUAUGAAUAAUUAUAGGUACCUGCACUAGCAAGGGACUUUGUGAAAGACGAGAAAAUAGUUGGGCCUCUUCAGGGAAUGUGUGGCAAGCAGGUCAUUUAAAAAUAACUUUUGGAGGCUCUGGGAAGUGGGUGAAAUGAAGUAACAAACAGCUUCUGAAAAAACAGCCGACAAGGGAGCGUUUCAUCUGAUAUCACAGACUGCUAGUUUUCAUUCUGAUCCUGUUGUUGUCUUCUUUAUAUAGCUCAUAGAGUGCCCUUAAGUUGUCUCCAAAGGAUAUUAAUUUUCCACUGGCAUCAGAAAGGCUGCAAUGAUACUUGCACCAAGGUAAGCGACCCCCUCAAGGUUUCUGCACCCACAGCUCCGGACUGGCUGGAAACACAGGCAAUUAAUAAAUCAGAAAAUGAGUGCCUCUCGGCCCUCCUUGCUCCAGGGAAGCCAACAGGAGCUUUGUCAGUAGGAGCAGAACAAGACCACAGAGUGUGCCCCAUAAAGGAUGUGCAUGUGGAAAAGCUCUGCCGUCUAGAACGAAUGCCAGCUCUUAAGAGUUCUGAUCAAAGUCUGAAGUGGACUGAAGCAGAAAACACUGAACAAGAGCUGGGAUCCACCACAGAUGGGGGUGGCUUCGGCCACUACGGGAGGACUGCCACAGCCACGUGGUGAUGCUGAGAGACUUCCCAGCAAGCAGAGAACAUGCUGGUUCUUGCUCUGGGGUAUGGAAGGCCAUCUCAGUCGAUCAUGCCAAAGACAUCAGGACUUAUUCCUUGUGAAGCCUGGGUGGUAACUGGUAAUGAAGACCGUAACAGCCACAAUCUGUGGUAUGCUUUAAUCUACACAAAAUCUGGGAGCAUAAACAUCACUGAGCAUGCUGGGAUAGGGACUGAGAGUCACGUGCUGAAAGCCAGGCUGUUUCCCAGGGUCCUCUUACAGUUUUCAUGCUGGUUGGAAGUAGAUCAUGAGGUUGAUGGCACUUGUCAUCAUUACUUUACCCUCCUUUUUUGUGUUUGUGCAGAGAACCAUUUGCAAUGUGAAACAGUGCAGGACAUUGCCAAACAAAGCCAACCAAACACCCUGGGUAUGCUGCUUGGAUGAAAGAGCUCUUUAGAAGAUGGACAAAUGGACGCAGGGGACAAAAGAGUAAUGCCAACAAAGUGUGUGUAUACACACAGCCCUCUACACGCUGGAAUCUCAGUCAUAAAGUAGCGUUCUCUUCCUCACCACCGCUUACUAACUCGCUGUUUUCUUUCCAGAAGAAUGAAGGCCUUGACAGAAUGCAAGCGAUGAGUAAUGACUUUGCUUUCUUCCAUUCCAGCUGCCACACAGGCACAUAUGUGAGUCCCUGGCCCUGCAAACUGGAACACUUUAACCUUUUCUUGUGUUCCGUGCCUGUCCUGUCACCUACUGUUGUUGCAGCCAGUGCACUCUUUAGCCAGGUCUGCUUCUCUCAGUAGCUUGGGCAAUUGUAUUUACAGGAAGCAAGAAAAUACACUGAUAAACAGCAGUGUGUGUCUGGGGAUAAUGUCAGCAUUUCAGCCAGAGCCUUGCUAUUCCCUUGGUGUUAUCACUGAUGGAUCCUCUGCCCUUCCUUACAUGUGGGCUUGAGGAGGUGGUUGUUUUGGCUGGAAUUAGAGAGGCACAGGUGGUAUCACCAGCUGUAAAUUGGAGGAGGCACUUCCUGAUUAUGACCACUGCCUACACAUAAAUCACUGCCAAGAGAGGAGCUGGGAAGCGUAGAAGCCUUCUCCUUACUUGGAAAGAGGGCCUCGAGUAUAGUCAUAAUUCCCCUCAUCUUUUUUUUUUUUUUUUCCAUCUAUAGGUUUUGGGGUUCUCAGUGUGCUCUUGGCUUCCCAAAAUGCUGUGACAUGGAAAACCCUCAGCUGAGUUGGACAGAUAGAUAAACCAAGGCAUCGAGUACUUACGCAUCUAACGCUUGGGCACUCAAAUCCUCAUAAAGGAACUGGGAGCUCAGGAGACGCACAUGCAGGAGGCAUUUGAGAGCCAGGACUUCAGCAAAGAUUCAGGUAUUUGCUCAACCACAGCAAAAUGUCAUCCCCUUCAAGUGGUGAAUGAGCCCUUGAUCUCUGCAAGGUCAAGAUUUUUGCCUUCUGGCUUUAGGUGCUAGUGGUGAGAGACCUGUCCAAAGGUGCUGUUUUCUAGUGCUGUUGUCUAGUGCUCAUUUCUCUACCUAUUCACCUGUACACGUGAAGACCUCUGCUGCUGGCCCUUGUCUGCAGGAAGCUUGGUGUGUUGAGUCUCCUCAUCAACCCAUCUGUUGGGGUGACCGUUCAGCCCCUUGCUGGCUCACAGUCUUGCUUUUGGGAUAUUUCUUCCCUUUUACUCUGGAGCAUCUUAAAUGUGGGUCCACUGAAUGUACAGAUUGAGAGCAGGGAAUGAAGGAGACGUGUUGCAGAAUCAACCCACCGACGUGUGCUGCUCACCCACGCACAUGGGGAGAGGGAAAGAUUAAAAGAUUAAAGUUACAAACUGGAAAGCGCCCCAGGCUACCACGGAGAUCCGAGUGACUGCCUGCGAAGCCAAACUCCCACUCUGGAGGUGCCGCUCCACGCUCGCUGUCACUCACUCCACACUUGCUUUCUCCUGCCAUCCCUUCCUGCUACUGCCUUUGCUAUUUUUACAGGCUGAAAAAUUAAGUAAUCAUCUGUUUUGGCCACGAAGGAGGGCCCUGGGCAACUCCUGGUUGUCACUGCAGGGCUCGUGGGCGUAGCCUUCUGCUCCAUCGCUGCACUCCUGUACUUCUAGACCUUGAAGACUCCUCCAUCAGCCUUCUGCUUUGCCCCAUCUGCCCAUAUCACGGCCAGGUUUGGUUCGGAUGCGGCUCAGGACUUGCGUGGGAGGGGCAGCAAUUUGCAGCAGUUAGAAUUUCAGUAAUGACAUAGGGAAGUUUGCAAGGCCUUCAGUGCUUUCUCGCCCCUACAGUGAGGUGCGAAUCAAGGCUUGCUCUACCAAGCUUACAAUUAAAUAUGCCCACAGUAUCAUACUCCUUCCUGUCAUUUGUGAAGAUUUUCUCACUUUCUUUUCUUUCCCUUCGUUAGAGCUGGACAAAGUUUUGGGGCUGAAAAGGCACAGAAGUAAAACUAAGGUCUGGGAGCUCCAGAACAGUUAUUAGCGCAGUGCUUGCGUUGGUAGGCAUGAUGCAAAGAAGGCUGUGGAUGCCCCAUCCCUGGAGGCAUUCUAGGCCGGGCUGGAUGUGGCUCUGGGCAGCCUGGUCUGGUGGUUGGUGACCCUGCACAUAGCAGGGGGAUUGAAACUCGAUGGUCAUUGUGGUCCUUUUCAAGCCGGGCCAUUCUAUGAUAUGAUAUUUUUGUUUGACUGUAGCAGUUAAUCUGAGCCAAAACGAUGAUUUCAUUUAAUUCUUGGAGUAUUGAGCUCUAGAAAUGUUUCUUUUCCAAUUUGCUUUCUGUUACUGUAUUUGAGUUUGGGGGCACUUUUUGUCAGAAACAAGCUGUUUCAAAGAAUAAAAACGGUUUGGCUCUGCUGCUUUGAGUAUGUUGAAAUGGUGUAUUUUGACAUCUCAGAAGUUCCUCCUCCUCCCUGUGCUUUUCAGAUGAAGGUAUUCCUCAGACUCAGGCUGUACUUGUGAAUGUGUUCAGUCCCCUUAGGGUUCCAUAUUUAAUCUGGUCUCCCAGCUAUCAGCUAUGCUGCCUGGCUCUGCUGUUGUGUGGAGGUGACAAAGGAGCACUGGGACCUUCUCGGUCCUGCAAGAAAUGGUGCUCAUUGCACGUGAGAUGGUGGGACAGCCAACUCCUAGCUUGGCUUUCCUGCUGAGGACAGUGGGAACCCUGCAGAUCAGGACACGUUCGGGUGAUUCGCACCUGCCCUUAGAUACCAGCAUUUCUUCUGGCGUGACUGCUUUCUC
Molecule: long non-coding RNA, 8157 nt
Filed under: Gallus gallus (chicken)
Lineage: Eukaryota; Metazoa; Chordata; Aves; Galliformes; Phasianidae
Description: lncRNA (ENSGALG00010015476.1)
Source: RNAcentral